Molecule: ribosomal RNA, 433 nt
Filed under: uncultured bacterium
Lineage: Bacteria
Description: partial 16S ribosomal RNA
Rfam family: Bacterial small subunit ribosomal RNA
Source: RNAcentral
AACGAACGCUGGCGGCAUGCCUAACACAUGCCAGUCGAACGAGACCUUCGGGUCUAGUGGCGCACGGGUGCGUAACGCGUGGGAACCUGCCCUUAGGUUCGGAAUAACUCCCCGAAAGGGGUGCUAAUACCGGAUAAUGUCUUCGGACCAAAGAUUUAUCGCCUUUGGAUGGGCCCGCGUUGGAUUAGCUAGUUGGUAGGGUAAAAGCCUACCAAGGCGACGAUCCAUAGCUGGUCUGAGAGGAUGAUCAGCCACACUGGGACUGAGACACGGCCCAGACUCCUACGGGAGGCAGCAGUGGGGAAUAUUGGACAAUGGGCGAAAGCCUGAUCCAGCAAUGCCGCGUGAGUGAUGAAGGCCUUAGGGUUGUAAAGCUCUUUUACCCGGGAUGAUAAUGACAGUACCGGGAGAAUAAGCUCCGGUUAACUCCGUG